RNAcentral lists this small RNA (68 nucleotides) under Curtobacterium sp. ER1/6. RNAcentral describes it as "Pseudomonas rnk leader". Lineage: Bacteria; Bacillati; Actinomycetota; Actinomycetes; Micrococcales; Microbacteriaceae. The record is from RNAcentral.
CACCGUGGGUUCAAAUCCCACCGGUACCGCCACAGAAAACCCCCGUUCGCGCGGGGGUUUUCUUGUUU